RNAcentral lists this long non-coding RNA (333 nucleotides) under Mytilus galloprovincialis (Mediterranean mussel). The record is from RNAcentral. Lineage: Eukaryota; Metazoa; Mollusca; Bivalvia; Mytilida; Mytilidae.
GUCUGGAGCUGGCAUGUCAGUUAACUGCUAGUAGUCUGUUGUUAUUUAUGUAUUAUUGUAAUUUUGAUUAUUUUCUUUUGUUACAUCUUCUGACAUCAGACUCGGACUUCUCUUGAACUGAAUUUUAAUGUGCGUAUUUUUAUGCGUUUACUUUUCUACAUUGGCUAGAGGUAUAGGGGGAGGGUUGAGAUCUCAUAAACAUGUUUAAACCCGCCGCAUUUUUGCGCCUGUCCCAAGUCAGGAGCCUCUGGCCUUUGUUAGUCUUGUAUUAUUUUUAAUUUUAGUUUCUUAUGUAUAAUUUGGAGUUAAAUACGGCGUUCAUUAUCACUGAAC